AAUGUAUUUCCUGUGAUCUAAUUCUAGUUGUUGCUGUAAAAAUUUUGUAUGUGUGUGUUCUCCCUGACUUAUUGUGAAGAACCCACUGUUCCCAUCACCAUCAUGCUGGACCCCAGAGGGGAAGGGACAAUCCACAGGGUGAUCAGUGGGUGGGGAUCCCCACAAAGGGGCCGGAAGAGCCACCAGGUCCCAAGGGAGGAGGGGAUAGCACCGAGGUCCCACAGCUCUUCUCCUCAGGCCCUGCCACCGUCCCCAGGGAAUCCAAGUAUUCUCUGGGACACAGAAGCGCUUUCUCUCAGAGAUCCAAGCAGGAAAAAGAGCAGGAGAGGUGGCCAGCACCCCUUUCCUACUGAUUAGGGGGGUUAGAUCGUCCCUGGCUGCGAAGCCUUGAAACCCGUUUCCCUCAGCCACACCUCGGAAUUCCUGGCAGAUCCCUGGGGCAGCAGCACACACAGGAAUGCCUCGUGGGCUUGGGCAGAAAGAGAGGGAAAGAGGAUCCAGUUCUAUCUCCCAGCAAGGGCAGGAUCUGUAAAACACAGAAAUAGCCCCAACUGGAUUUCUGCUUUAAUUAUUUGAAAUUUAGAUAAGCUCCCUGUGGUGUUACACAAACAACUGGUGAUAUGUCAGGUGCACUUCCUUGGAUAUGUACAGUGAGCCCAGUUCCCCCUGCAGCCCUCUCACCUUCCCUUGGAUUAGAGGGAAAGGAGUUACAGGAUAAAAAACUGUAACCAACCACGGGCUGUUCAAGCACUGUGUAAGUGUAGACAUUUAUUUUAAGACCAAUUUAGGCUGUUUUUGUGUCUUUCAGUUACAUCUGUUUCCGUGGGUGAAAAAUCCUGGGAAAAGAUGUGACCAUCAUUUUACAGCCUGAACUACUAAAGCUUGAAUGUUGAAUGCUCCCUGGGUGUUCACAGAGGAGCUGACACCAAAACAAUAAGGAGUAUGGAGUUAAGGUUUUAGAGUUUGGGCCACACUCAUUCAAGGAAUUUGGGAGCUGAGCUUAAUGGAUUCCCAAGAGUUAACGAGAUUCCUCAAAUGCCAUGUGCUGACUUCCUAACCCAGCUAAGAGAAAUGCUGAAAAAAGAGCUGUUGCUGAGCUCCAGUUCUCAGAGCCAGGUACGUCCAAGAGCAGGGGAUUUGCCUCCCCGCACUGAAGCACAGCCACGCCGGUGUUUCACCCCCACUCCCUCACAGGGGGCUGCAGCAGCUCCUUUUCCUGCCUCCCAACAGAGCUCAGCCCUUGCAGCCUCUCAGCAGGGGAUGACAUAAAUUCGGGCUUUGCUUUUAUCCUGGACAGAAUCCAAGGAGCCUCUAUUAUAAUCUUCCAGCUGAUUGAUCCGAUGGCUCUGGCGGCACUGCUGAUGUCCGGGGUGCUCUGGAACAAGGCUCUGGUUUGACCCUUCCUGCUGGAAUGGUUCUGCUCCCUGGGGGCUGACAGGAAUUGUGUGUGUUUCCAGUCUUUGGGUGCAGACACUCCUUUGGGAAGGAAGGAUCCGUGUUCCUGUCUCUGCUGCAGUGAACAGCUCCCAGUGACUCGGUGAUGGAGCUCCCUGCAGUGCAGAGCAGUGGAUUUAACAGCCAGAGCUGUGCAGGCCCAUGUUCCCAGGACACACUGCAAUGCAGGAAUGUGGGUAAGUAAACAACUAUUUCAGCGGGAUUGUUCAAAGACUGAGAUGUGCUAGAGGCAACUUUCAUGUCCACAGAGUCACCACCCAUCAGAAGGUGGGGCACAAGAACCUCCACUGACAGCUCAGGGAAUGACACAACUGCAAUGAGCAGCCAGUACUCAACAGAGAUGGGGCAGGUUCCCUGUGUGUGUAGUACCAACAACCUACUCCUGGAAUGGGUUGGUUGGAAGGGACCUUAAAGACCAGCUCGUUCCACCCCCUGCCAUGGGCAGAGGCACCUUCCACUAGCCCAGGUUGCUCCAAGCUCCAUCCAGCCUGGCCUUGGACACUUCUAGGGAUGGGACACUCACUUGGAAGCAAC
Molecule: long non-coding RNA, 1989 nt
Organism: Chiroxiphia lanceolata (lance-tailed manakin)
Lineage: Eukaryota; Metazoa; Chordata; Aves; Passeriformes; Pipridae
Exons: 3
Source: RefSeq, a predicted model, not a curated record